This 495-nucleotide ribosomal RNA is filed under the name uncultured bacterium. RNAcentral's name for it is "partial 16S ribosomal RNA". It matches the Rfam family "Bacterial small subunit ribosomal RNA", at positions 28 to 507 of the family's 1533-position model. The record is from RNAcentral.
GACGAACGCUGGCGGCGUGCCUAAUACAUGCAAGUCGAACGCUGAAGGAGGAGCUUGCUUCUCUGGAUGAGUUGCGAACGGGUGAGUAACGCGUAGGUAACCUGCCUGGUAGCGGGGGAUAACUAUUGGAAACGAUAGCUAAUACCGCAUAAUAGUAGAUGUUGCAUGACAUUUGCUUAAAAGGUGCAAUUGCAUCACUACCAGAUGGACCUGCGUUGUAUUAGCUAGUUGGUGAGGUAACGGCUCACCAAGGCAACGAUACAUAGCCGACCUGAGAGGGUGAUCGGCCACACUGGGACUGAGACACGGCCCAGACUCCUACGGGAGGCAGCAGUAGGGAAUCUUCGGCAAGGGACGGAAGUCUGACCGAGCAACGCCGCGGGAGUGAAGAAGGUUGUCGGAUCGUAAAGCUCUGUUGUAAGAGAAGAACGAGUGUGAGAGUGGAAAGUUCACACUGUGACGGUAUCUUACCAGAAAGGGACGGCUAACUACGUG